CCAAUAGCGUAUAUUAAAGUUGUUGCAGUUAAAAAGCUCGUAGUUGAAUUUCGGGAUCAAUCUAUCGGUCGUGCAAUAGUACGUACUGAUUUUAUUGAUUCCUCUCUUCUGAAGAACUAUGAUGUCAUUAAUUUGGUGUCAUAGGGAAUCAGGACUGUUACUUUGAAAAAAUUAGAGUGUUUAAAGCAGGCUCACGCUUGAAUACAUUAGCAUGGAAUAACGAAAUAGGACGUUUGAUUCUAUUUUGUUGGUUUCUAGGAUCGACGUAAUGAUUAAUAGGGGUAGUUGGGGGCAUUAGUAUUCAAUUGUCAGAGGUGAAAUUCUUGGAUUUAUUGAAGACUAACUACUGCGAAAGCAUUUGCCAAGGAUGUUUUCAUUAAUCAAGAACGAAAGUUAGGGGAUCGAAGACGAUCAGAUACCGUCGUAGUCUUAACCAUAAACUAUGCCGACUAGGGAUCGGAUGAUGUUAAAUUAAUGACUCAUUCGGCGCCUUACG
Molecule: ribosomal RNA, 496 nt
Filed under: uncultured Glomeromycotina
Lineage: Eukaryota; Fungi; Glomeromycota
Description: partial small subunit ribosomal RNA
Rfam family: Eukaryotic small subunit ribosomal RNA
Source: RNAcentral